AUUGAACGCUGGCGGACUGCUUUACACAUGCAAGUCGAACGGCAGCACGGACUUCGGUCUGGUGGCGAGUGGCGAACGGGUGCGUAAUGUAUCGGAACGUGCUCAGUCGUGGGGGAUAACGUAGUGAAAAUUACGCUAAUACCGCAUACGAUCUAGGCAUGAAAGCGGGGCGUCGCAAGACCUCGCGCGAUCGGAGCGGCCGAUAUCAGAUUAGGUAGUUGGUGGGGUAAAGGCCCACCAAGCCAACGAUCUGUAGCUGGUAUGAGAGGACGACCAGCCACACUGGAACUGAGACACGGUCCAGACUCCUACGGGAGGCAGCAGUGGGGAAUUUUGGACAAUGGGCGAAAGCCUGAUCCAGCCAUUCCGCGUGCAGGAUGAAGGCCCUCGGGUUGUAAACUGCUUUUGUGCAGAACGAAAAGGUUUCUACUAAUACUAGGAGCUCAUGACGGUACUGUAAGAAUAAGCACCGGCUAACUACGUGCCAGCCGCCGCGGUAA
This 500-nucleotide ribosomal RNA is filed under the name uncultured bacterium. RNAcentral's name for it is "partial 16S ribosomal RNA". It matches the Rfam family "Bacterial small subunit ribosomal RNA", at positions 30 to 523 of the family's 1533-position model. The record is from RNAcentral.